Long non-coding RNA from Entelurus aequoreus (snake pipefish), 559 nucleotides. RefSeq lists it as uncharacterized. The transcript has 3 exons. The record is from RefSeq and is a predicted model, not a curated record. Lineage: Eukaryota; Metazoa; Chordata; Actinopteri; Syngnathiformes; Syngnathidae.
UCUGACAACAGCAUACUCACGUUACUCCAGGACUGGUAAAAAAUGCUGACAAAGAUAUAUUUCUCAUAUUCUGUGUGAACAUUUGUGAGAGGUUAUUUUAUUGUGCCUCGUGUUUGUGUUGUUUAUAUGUCACAUUUAAGGAGAGUCACUACGAGUUGUGUGUGGAAGCUAGGCUAACUAGCUGAGCAAACUUAGCGCCCUUGGAAGCGGAAGGAGAUAAGAAACCUGCGUAGGACUUCUGUGACACUCCACAGGACGCAGCCCAGCGUCACUCACACAAAGAGGCCAUUCAACCAGCGCUGCAGAAAGAGCUUUUCAACGCAGAUGCCAUCUUUCAAGUUGGGUACAUGACAGUCGGGAGACGUGGUCGUAACGGACUUGGAAGGCUGUUGGCAGUCAGGUAUGUGUGGUCAAGAGAGAAGGGAAUAGCACGCACAGAAAUGAGAUGAAGCAGCUCUCUGGGCUGAACCAACAUCAUUGAGCACAUCCAUUGCGGGCGGGCUGGAAAGCAAUAGACAAAAACAGGAGGUAUCCGCAGCGUUGUUGACGCUGCCUCCCC